Molecule: ribosomal RNA, 677 nt
Filed under: Inocybe sindonia
Lineage: Eukaryota; Fungi; Basidiomycota; Agaricomycetes; Agaricales; Inocybaceae
Also listed under: 1 other name
Description: eukaryotic LSU rRNA
Rfam family: Eukaryotic large subunit ribosomal RNA
Source: RNAcentral
UUGACCUCAAAUCAGGUAGGACUACCCGCUGAACUUAAGCAUAUCAAUAAGCGGAGGAAAAGAAACUAACAAGGAUUCCCCUAGUAACUGCGAGUGAAGCGGGAAAAGCUCAAAUUUGAAAUCUGGCAGCUCUUGAACUGUCCGAGUUGUAAUCUAGAGAAGUGUUACCUGUGCUGGACCGUGUACAAGUCUCCUGGAAUGGAGCGUCGCAGAGGGUGAGAAUCCCGUCUUUGACAUGGACUGCCUGCACGAUAUGGUGCGCUCUCGAAGAGUCGAGUUGUUUGGGAAUGCAGCUCAAAAUGGGUGGUAAAUGCCAUCUAAAGCUAAAUAUUGGCGAGAGACCGAUAGCGAACAAGUACCGUGAGGGAAAGAUGAAAAGAACUUUGGAAAGAGAGUUAAACAGUACGUGAAAUUGCUGAAAGGGAAACGCUUGAAGUCAGUCGCGUUGACUGGAAAUCAACCUUGCUUUUGCUUGGUGUACUUUCUGGUUGACGGGUCAGCAUCAAUUUUGACCGUCGGAUAAAGUCUUUGGGAAUGUGGCAUCUUAGGAUGUGUUAUAGCCCAUUGUCGCAUACGGUGGUUGGGAUUGAGGAACUCAGCACGCCUCCCACAAAGGGGCCGGGUUUCGACCACGUUCGUGCUUAGGAUGCUGGCAUAAUGGCUUUAAUCGACCCGUC